Molecule: ribosomal RNA, 301 nt
Filed under: uncultured bacterium
Lineage: Bacteria
Description: partial 16S ribosomal RNA
Rfam family: Bacterial small subunit ribosomal RNA
Source: RNAcentral
CAGCAGCCGCGGGAAUACGUAGGUGGCAAGCGUUGUCCGGAAUUAUUGGGCGUAAAGGGCUCGCAGGCGGGUUUUUAAGUCAGGGGUGAAAUCCCAAGGCUCAACCUUGGAACUGCCUUUGAUACUGGAAGUCUUGGGUCCGGGAGAGGUGAGUGGAACUGCGAGUGUAGAGGUGAAAUUCGUAGAUAUUCGCAAGAACACCAGUGGCGAAGGCGGCUCACUGGCCCGAUACUGACGCUGAGGUGCGAAAGCGUGGGGAGCAAAUGGGAUUAGAUACCCCAGUAGUCCCUGUCUCUUAUAU